Molecule: long non-coding RNA, 1279 nt
Organism: Cyprinodon tularosa
Lineage: Eukaryota; Metazoa; Chordata; Actinopteri; Cyprinodontiformes; Cyprinodontidae
Exons: 3
Source: RefSeq, a predicted model, not a curated record
AGUGUACAUUUAUAUACAUGUUUAAGCCAGAAUGAUUUAACAUUCAAAUAUGAUUUCCUUACGACUUUAAACCAGAACAAUUCUGAUGGUAGUGUCUUUUAUGUCCUUCCAAAGAAAUAUUAAAUCAAUAUGAGGUGUAACUGGUUUAAACUGGUUUAGCAGCUUGACUGGAACCCUGACCACACUUUACAAGCUCAUCUAACGGAGAAUUAUCGCGAGAUUUGAAUCAGCGUGAGCCUUGUGAUGUUUGGCCACCAAACUCCGAACCUAAAAAGAAGCAAGAGCCGCAGAAAAAAGCGCGAGGAGGCAAAUGUAACAGAAUCAAGUAAGCGCAAGCAAAGAGGAAGAUGGUUCCAGAGCGCAGACGCCACGGCCUGAAAGGAGCGAUCUCCCCUGGUCCUGUAACGAGUACGAGGGACCAUGAGAAGGUUCAGGUCCUGAGACCUCGGACACCAAGAGAAGGGGUAUAAGGACACAACAAGUCUCUAAUGUAGGAGGGAAUCUGGCUGUGAAAGACCCUGAAGUAGCUUCAUCUGGUCUGUUCCUGUUUGGCUGUGACUCCAUCCUGGAGAGAAAUAUCAGCUGUGCUGCUGCCAUCAACACCCUGGAGUUGAAGAUGGAGCCGAUCAGCAUGUGCAGCUGAAGUUGUGUGUGUAGAUGACAAAACGUUAGUGUAACAUGAUCAGAGUGACAUAAAUGUUAUGUUUUGAAACUAAAUACGCCAUGUUGAAUCCAUGUUUUUAUAUGAUUGAUAGUUUUGUAAUAUUUAAGAGUGUUCUAUGAUGGAAGCUACAGGCUAAUGCUGAUCACAUCCGAUGCAACGUUUGUUUAGUGAACCUUGUUAAGCACAGAUGUUAAGAGUGUUUAAGCUUUGGUUAUGAUAAGUAAUCAUACUUUCUUGAUGCAAAUGUUGUUAAAUGAUAAUCUAAGUAGUUUUCUAUUAGUUUUUAUUAGUUCACACAGCAGGCAUUUUUGAUUUGUUUAUUACUUUCCUUUGUCGACCACACAAUAAUAUUCACGAGUGUUUCACCUAUGCUGACAUCUGUAUCAGUGUGAAUAUGGAGAGGCUGCUGUAUAUCGCCUGAUUACGAUUAAAGAACAAAGAAAGUAAAGGAAUCCUGUCUGUGCUCCUUAGCGGCACACCGAGGAGGAUAUUGAUAUCCUUGCUUCUGUCUCCUUGAACCCCAGUGGGCCUCAGCAGAUGGCCGCUCACACUGAGCCUGGUUCUGCUGGAGGUUUCUUCCUGUUCAAAGGGAGUUUUUCCUCUCCACUGUCGCUA